RNAcentral lists this long non-coding RNA (330 nucleotides) under Nicotiana benthamiana. Its description in RNAcentral is "long non-coding RNA (NBEN_LNC001907)". Lineage: Eukaryota; Viridiplantae; Streptophyta; Magnoliopsida; Solanales; Solanaceae. The record is from RNAcentral.
CAUUCUUGAAAGGGCUAAAAGUAGCAUUCGCUUUGUUUAUGGAAAGAAAAGAGAAGAUCUUCGAAUAUUUUAUCCACUAGGUGAACUUGUUAUGUUUUCCAAUCGCGUUUGAAAUCUCUGACAUAUAUGCUUUCACUCAAGGAGGUGGGAACAACAUUGGACAAAUAUGGCCGUGUUGUACCUCACUCUCGUCUUCAAUGGAUUUGAUCUUUCUUUUUUGGGAGCGUAUGUAACCACUAGUAGUCUUGUGGUUUAGAAGCUGUCAAACUGCUACUAGUGGAAGUUAAUAGUGUGAAAUAAACAGUUAAGAGAACCCUCAGGGGUUGGCCU